GUCUUUUUGUUAUACAAAUAUAAAAAGUCAGACCUGCCCGGUGAAUAUUUAUUUAAACGGCCGCGGUAUUUUGACCGUGCAAAGGUAGCAUAAUCAGUUGUCUUAUAAUUGAAGACUGGAAUGAAUGGUUAAACGAAAUUAGAGCUGUUUCAUUUGUAUUUAUUAGAAAUUGGCUUUUAAAUGAAGAGAUUUAAAUUUGAUUAAGGGACAAGAAGACCCUAUUGAGCUUUAAAUAAUUUAAAGGGUUAAAGUUAUUAUAAAGAUCUAUGAUCUUUAGUAUUUUUUUAGUUGGGGCGACUAAGGAACAGGCGAAGCUUCCUUUAUUUAUUUAAUUGAUAGAUUUUGAUCCUGUAUUACUGAUUAAGAGAAAUAGUUACCAUAGGGAUAACAGCAUAAUCUUCUUGGAGAGUUCUUAUUAAAAAGGGGGGUUGUGACCUCGAUGUUGGACUAAAAUAUCCUAAGGGUGUAGAAGCUUUUAAGGGUUGGUCUGUUCGACCAUUAAAAUUUUACA
Molecule: ribosomal RNA, 511 nt
Filed under: Cipangopaludina sp. KMMU149
Lineage: Eukaryota; Metazoa; Mollusca; Gastropoda; Architaenioglossa; Viviparidae
Also listed under: 1 other name
Description: partial 16S ribosomal RNA
Rfam family: Bacterial large subunit ribosomal RNA
Source: RNAcentral